GGGUUGUGAGGUUAAGCGACUAAGCGUACACGGUGGAUGCCCUGGCAGUCAGAGGCGAUGAAGGACGUGCUAAUCUGCGAUAAGCGCCGGUAAGGUGAUAUGAACCGUUAUAACCGGCGAUUUCCGAAUGGGGAAACCCAGUGUGAUUCGUCACACUAUCAUUAACUGAAUCCAUAGGUUAAUGAGGCGAACCGGGGGAACUGAAACAUCUAAGUACCCCGAGGAAAAGAAAUCAACCGAGAUUCCCCCAGUAGCGGCGAGCGAACGGGGAGGAGCCCAGAGCCUGAAUCAGCAUGUGUGUUAGUGGAAGCGUCUGGAAAGGCGCGCGAUACAGGGUGACAGCCCCGUACACAAAAGCGCAUGUGCUGUGAGCUCGAUGAGUAGGGCGGGACACGUGGUAUCCUGUCUGAAUAUGGGGGGACCAUCCUCCAAGGCUAAAUACUCCUGACUGACCGAUAGUGAACCAGUACCGUGAGGGAAAGGCGAAAAGAACCCCGGCGAGGGGAGUGAAAAAGAACCUGAAACCGUGUACGUACAAGCAGUGGGAGCNGUGACUGCGUACCUUUUGUAUAAUGGGUCAGCGACUUAUAUUCUGUAGCAAGGUUAACCGAAUAGGGGAGCCGGAGGGAAACCGAGUCUUAAUUGGGCGUUAAGUUGCAGGGUAUAGACCCGAAACCCGGUGAUCUAGCCAUGGGCAGGUUGAAGGUUGGGUAACACUAACUGGAGGACCGAACCGACUAAUGUUGAAAAAUUAGCGGAUGACCUGUGGCUGGGGGUGAAAGGCCAAUCAAACCGGGAGAUAGCUGGUUCUCCCCGAAAGCUAUUUAGGUAGCGCCUCGUGAAUUCAUCUCCGGGGGUAGAGCACUGUUUCGGCUAGGGGGCCAUCCCGGCUUACCAACCCGAUGCAAACUGCGAAUACCGGAGAAUGUUAUCACGGGAGACACACGGCGGGUGCUAACGUCCGUCGUGAAGAGGGAAACAACCCAGACCGCCAGCUAAGGUCCCAAAGUCAUGGUUAAGUGGGAAACGAUGUGGGAAGGCCCAGACAGCCAGGAUGUUGGCUUAGAAGCAGCCAUCAUUUAAAGAAAGCCAUUAUCGAGUGACCAGCUCAGCCGGACGCGCCUUCUACAUUGCCCCGAUUUGGUACGUGGCUUCGACGCCGUCGCUCACUCAGGUGUUGUUGGGUAGGGGAGCGUUCUGUAAGCCUGCGAAGGUGGCCUGUGAGGGUUGCUGGAGGUAUCAGAAGUGCGAAUGCUGACAUAAGUAACGAUAAAGCGGGUGAAAAGCCCGCUCGCCGGAAGACCAAGGGUUCCUGUCCAACGUUAAUCGGGGCAGGGUGAGUCGACCCCUAAGGCGAGGCCGAAAGGCGUAGUCGAUGGGAAACGGGUUAAUAUUCCCGUACUUGGUGUUACUGCGAAGGGGGGACGGAGAAGGCUAUGUUGGCCGGGCGACGGUUGUCCCGGUUUAAGCGUGUAGGUGUGUGUUCCAGGUAAAUCCGGUUCACUUUAACACUGAGGCGUGAUGACGAGGCACUACGGUGCUGAAGCAACAAAUGCCCUGCUUCCAGGAAAAGCCUCUAAGCAUCAGGUAACAUCAAAUCGUACCCCAAACCGACACAGGUGGUCAGGUAGAGAAUACCAAGGCGCUUGAGAGAACUCGGGUGAAGGAACUAGGCAAAAUGGUGCCGUAACUUCGGGAGAAGGCACGCUGACANGGAGCUGAAGUCAGUCGAAGAUACCAGCUGGCUGCAACUGUUUAUUAAAAACACAGCACUGUGCAAACACGAAAGUGGACGUAUACGGUGUGACGCCUGCCCGGUGCCGGAAGGUUAAUUGAUGGGGUCAGCGCAAGCGAAGCUCCUGAUCGAAGCCCCGGUAAACGGCGGCCGUAACUAUAACGGUCCUAAGGUAGCGAAAUUCCUUGUCGGGUAAGUUCCGACCUGCACGAAUGGCGUAAUGAUGGCCAGGCUGUCUCCACCCGAGACUCAGUGAAAUUGAACUCGCUGUGAAGAUGCAGUGUACCCGCGGCAAGACGGAAAGACCCCGUGAACCUUUACUAUAGCUUGACACUGAACAUUGAGCCUUGAUGUGUAGGAUAGGUGGGAGGCUUUGAAGCGUGGACGCCAGUCUGCGUGGAGCCGACCUUGAAAUACCACCCUUUAAUGUUUGAUGUUCUAACGUGGACCCGU
Molecule: ribosomal RNA, 2188 nt
Filed under: Salmonella enterica subsp. enterica serovar Infantis
Lineage: Bacteria; Pseudomonadati; Pseudomonadota; Gammaproteobacteria; Enterobacterales; Enterobacteriaceae
Description: partial 23S ribosomal RNA
Rfam family: Bacterial large subunit ribosomal RNA
Source: RNAcentral